CAGCAGCCGCGCGAAAACGUAGGUGGCAAGCGUUGUCCGGAAUUAUUGGGCGUAAAGGGCUCGCAGGCGGUUUCUUAAGUCUGAUGUGAAAGCCCCCGGCUCAACCGGGGAGGGUCAUUGGAAACUGGGAAACUUGAGUGCAGAAGAGGAGAGCGGAAUUCCACGUGUAGCGGUGAAAUGCGUAGAGAUGUGGAGGAACACCAGUGGCGAAGGCGACUCUCUGGUCUGUAACUGACGCUGAGGAGCGAAAGCGUGGGGAGCGAACAGGAUUAGAUACCCCCGUAGUCCCUGUCUCUUAUAC
This 301-nucleotide ribosomal RNA is filed under the name uncultured bacterium. RNAcentral's name for it is "partial 16S ribosomal RNA". It matches the Rfam family "Bacterial small subunit ribosomal RNA", at positions 509 to 807 of the family's 1533-position model. The record is from RNAcentral.